This 814-nucleotide long non-coding RNA is filed under the name Fukomys damarensis (Damara mole-rat). RNAcentral's name for it is "lncRNA (ENSFDAG00000025266.1)". Lineage: Eukaryota; Metazoa; Chordata; Mammalia; Rodentia; Bathyergidae. The record is from RNAcentral.
CUUGGAGAAAGGAAAAGAGCUUAGGGGUCUUGAAGAGAACAGGAGGAAGUGGUGUGGCUUCCCAAGGUUUUUGAUGGGUGUUGGCAGGGCAUGUUGGCUUUGUCCAUGAGACCCAGGGAAGUCCCAGGGCUUCUGUCCAGGCAAAGCAUAGACCAUGGUGCUCUGCAGCUAUCUUGGUCUGAAUGUCAUGGCUCUUAUCCUGAAAAUAUGUCCGACCUAUACACGUAGUACCAGAGCCACAUGGCUGAUCUGUGCCUAGCACCAAGGAGGCUUUGGACCACGAGGGUGUGGUGGUUGCUAUGCAAGACCACUGAUUCUCCACAGUUGCCAUGGAAGCUUUCUCAGUCCUGUACAACCCAAAAGAAGGAGAAGGACCAUUAUGAGCCUCAGGGGAAGAAAGAAUUAGAUCAGGGUGAACGUGACGUCUCUCAAUAGCCCACAGCUGGGGACUCUACAAACCCACUGAGGGGUCGGCUUCCACCCCAUGAAUAUUGAUAAGAAGAAUGACGUACAGCAGCAUCAGAGUCCUGUAGAAACUGACCAGCAAGACUCCAUCAUGCAACUCUGAGAAUUUUCGUUUUCAAUAAUGUUUUCUCACAAUGCACUAAAACCAAGUCAAAUUCGCAAGGCAAUUCCAAACACUGUUUUUGGAGGACUCAGUUCCCACCAACCUUGGGGGAAAAAAAGAAACUGAUGAUUUGAUGAGCCCCAAGUAAAUGCAUAUUUACUCAAACUAAAACCAUGGAGAGGUGACAGAACCUGGUUUUCAUUCACACUGAAAUUCUACAAAAUAAUAAUGAUGAUGAUGCAGCCA